RNAcentral lists this ribosomal RNA (249 nucleotides) under Clavaria sp. 8 CRJH-2017. RNAcentral describes it as "partial 28S ribosomal RNA". It matches the Rfam family "Eukaryotic large subunit ribosomal RNA", at positions 104 to 344 of the family's 3401-position model. The record is from RNAcentral. Lineage: Eukaryota; Fungi; Basidiomycota; Agaricomycetes; Agaricales; Clavariaceae.
AAAGCUCAAAUUUGAAAUCUGGCAGUCUGUUGGCUGUCCGAGUUGUAAAUUGGAGAAGUGUCAUCCGCGCUGGCCUGUGCACAAGUCCUUUGGAAAAGGGCAUCAUAGAGGGUGACAAUCCCGUCUCUGGCACAGACUACCAGGGCUUUUGUGAUGUGCUCUCAACGAGUCGAGUUGUUUGGGAAUGCAGCUCUAAAUGGGUGGUAAAUUCCAUCUAAAGCUAAAUAUUGGCGAGAAACCGAUAGUGCA